GACGAAGGGGGCUAGCGUUGCUCGGAAUCACUGGGCGUAAAGCGCACGUAGGCGGACUCUUAAGUCGGUGGUGAAAUCCUGGAGCUCAACUCCAGAACUGCCUUCGAUACUGAGAGUCUCGAGUCCGGGAGAGGUGAGUGGAACUGCGAGUGUAGAGGUGAAAUUCGUAGAUAUUCGCAAGAACACCAGUGGCGAAGGCGGCUCACUGGCCCGGUACUGACGCUGAGGUGCGAAAGCGUGGGGAGCAAACAGG
This 253-nucleotide ribosomal RNA is filed under the name uncultured bacterium. RNAcentral's name for it is "partial 16S ribosomal RNA". It matches the Rfam family "Bacterial small subunit ribosomal RNA", at positions 524 to 776 of the family's 1533-position model. The record is from RNAcentral.